AAAUUCACAAUCUUGGAGGCACCAGCUCAGCAAAACCGCCUAAUCCUUGUGAUCAAUCUCCGGUGUGAGCGUGCCCUUGGUGAUAAAGAUAUUGGUGAAGUCAACGUCCCAAUCAAGGAGUUAUUGGAAACCAUGGGAGAUGGAAAAUCUAUGCAAUUUGUUAGUUAUCAGGUCAGGAAGCCAUCAGGAAAGCCUAAAGGUCAGUUAAAUUUUUCUUAUAAGUUUAGUGAGAAGGCUAUUGUCUCAGGACCUGAAAAAGUGAGCGAAAAGGCCAACCAACCAGUCACUGCAUAUCCUGCUCCGCCGCCUGCUGGGAUUGGCUCUAGUUCAGCACCUUAUGGUGCUCCUGGGCCUUAUCCACCUCCACCACCAAGCGAUCCAGUCCCACCAAUGGCAAAUUAUAGUUACCCACCACCUGCAUAUGCUGGAUAUCCACCACCACCUGCAUAUGCUGGAUAUCCACCGCCGCUGCCACAGCCAUAUGCUGGAUACCCACAACAAGCUCAUCCGCCAGGACAUGGAUACCCGCCGCCGCCUCCACCCGCAGGUUAUGGGUAUCCACCGGUUCAGGCUGGAUAUGGAUAUCAACCAGUGCAACAACCGGCAAAGAAGAACAAAUUUGGAAUGGGAUUGGGAGCUGGCUUGUUAGGAGGAGCAAUUGGUGGGCUUUUGAUCGGAGAUAUGGUGUCUGAUGCUGCAUCUUAUGAUGCUGGGUAUGAUGCAGGAUUUGAUGAUGCCGGUGGAUUUUGAUUCUCUCAAUUUUUUCUUCUUGUUAAUGUUUUUGUCAGACUUAUCUUAUGGGAUGUUAAUGGUUGGUGUAGAAUAAAUGAUGGAUUUUGUCUUUUAAGAAUCUGGAUAUUUUCUCCUUAAUGAUCUCAUCUCAGUCUUAAUUAAUCUAAGACGCUGCACUUUUCUGAUUACUUCCCCUUCUUUAUUGCGUACACGACAGAGGCGAAUCUUCCAAAGUGGAUACCACUUUUUGAGUUCAGAAUUAGAAUAUUCUCUUCAAAGUUUCUAUGUGAUGCUACUUUAUUACCAAGAAAAUAAAAGAAAGGCUCGUUCUAGAAAAACUUGCACCAUUCACCGGCGGACAAAAGACAAACAGGAAAUAACAAUUCCGGCAAGAAUAGCAGAUGGAACAAGCUGUCUAUUUCUUGUUCAACUACAUCAAGCAAAUUAUUCAAGACUUGAGCUUUUCUUUAUUUACACCGUAACAUGACCGAGCCAUGGCAAUCAAGAUAAUUG
Molecule: long non-coding RNA, 1245 nt
Filed under: Jatropha curcas
Lineage: Eukaryota; Viridiplantae; Streptophyta; Magnoliopsida; Malpighiales; Euphorbiaceae
Description: long non-coding RNA (JCUR_LNC002539)
Source: RNAcentral